CUACAACUGUCCUCUCCCCACCCCGCACGGCUCGGGAGUCACAUCGGGAGGCCCCCAUCAUUGAGAGCAGUUGACAUUCAUUUCAUUGCUUUCAGGAGCAGUUACGCAAAAGAAAUAACCAAGCACUGGCACGAGGAGGAAGAAAGGAGAGAAAAAAAAGUCUAGAACACGAAACGAGUGGCCCAGCCCUUGGAUGUUCGGCCAUUGUUCUGGGAGCUGUGAAGCCAAGAGACGGAGAUGAGUGGACUGUGCAUUUGGGC
Molecule: long non-coding RNA, 260 nt
Filed under: Microcebus murinus (gray mouse lemur)
Lineage: Eukaryota; Metazoa; Chordata; Mammalia; Primates; Cheirogaleidae
Description: lncRNA (ENSMICG00000048648.1)
Source: RNAcentral